This 1142-nucleotide ribosomal RNA is filed under the name Bacillus altitudinis. Its description in RNAcentral is "bacterial SSU rRNA". It matches the Rfam family "Bacterial small subunit ribosomal RNA", at positions 77 to 1204 of the family's 1533-position model. The record is from RNAcentral. Lineage: Bacteria; Bacillati; Bacillota; Bacilli; Caryophanales; Bacillaceae.
AGCUUGCUCCCGGAUGUUAGCGGCGGACGGGUGAGUAACACGUGGGUAACCUGCCUGUAAGACUGGGAUAACUCCGGGAAACCGGAGCUAAUACCGGAUAGUUCCUUGAACCGCAUGGUUCAAGGAUGAAAGACGGUUUCGGCUGUCACUUACAGAUGGACCCGCGGCGCAUUAGCUAGUUGGUGAGGUAACGGCUCACCAAGGCGACGAUGCGUAGCCGACCUGAGAGGGUGAUCGGCCACACUGGGACUGAGACACGGCCCAGACUCCUACGGGAGGCAGCAGUAGGGAAUCUUCCGCAAUGGACGAAAGUCUGACGGAGCAACGCCGCGUGAGUGAUGAAGGUUUUCGGAUCGUAAAGCUCUGUUGUUAGGGAAGAACAAGUGCAAGAGUAACUGCUUGCACCUUGACGGUACCUAACCAGAAAGCCACGGCUAACUACGUGCCAGCAGCCGCGGUAAUACGUAGGUGGCAAGCGUUGUCCGGAAUUAUUGGGCGUAAAGGGCUCGCAGGCGGUUUCUUAAGUCUGAUGUGAAAGCCCCCGGCUCAACCGGGGAGGGUCAUUGGAAACUGGGAAACUUGAGUGCAGAAGAGGAGAGUGGAAUUCCACGUGUAGCGGUGAAAUGCGUAGAGAUGUGGAGGAACACCAGUGGCGAAGGCGACUCUCUGGUCUGUAACUGACGCUGAGGAGCGAAAGCGUGGGGAGCGAACAGGAUUAGAUACCCUGGUAGUCCACGCCGUAAACGAUGAGUGCUAAGUGUUAGGGGGUUUCCGCCCCUUAGUGCUGCAGCUAACGCAUUAAGCACUCCGCCUGGGGAGUACGGUCGCAAGACUGAAACUCAAAGGAAUUGACGGGGGCCCGCACAAGCGGUGGAGCAUGUGGUUUAAUUCGAAGCAACGCGAAGAACCUUACCAGGUCUUGACAUCCUCUGACAACCCUAGAGAUAGGGCUUUCCCUUCGGGGACAGAGUGACAGGUGGUGCAUGGUUGUCGUCAGCUCGUGUCGUGAGAUGUUGGGUUAAGUCCCGCAACGAGCGCAACCCUUGAUCUUAGUUGCCAGCAUUCAGUUGGGCACUCUAAGGUGACUGCCGGUGACAAACCNGAAGAAAGGUGGGNAUGACGUCCAAUCAUCAUGCCCCUUA